This 1126-nucleotide ribosomal RNA is filed under the name uncultured organism. RNAcentral's name for it is "bacterial SSU rRNA". It matches the Rfam family "Bacterial small subunit ribosomal RNA", at positions 36 to 1192 of the family's 1533-position model. The record is from RNAcentral.
CUGGCGGCGUGCCUAAUACAUGCAAGUCGAACGAGAACCCUUGGAUUCGUCUGGGGGGGAGAGUGGCGAACUGGUGAGUAACACGUGGGUGACCUGCCCCGAAGACGGGGAUAACCGUUGGAAACGACGGCUAAUACCCGAUAUACUCGGUGAUUCGGUUCAUCGAGUAAAGGCUCCGGUGCUUCGGGAUGGGCCUGCGGCCUAUCAGCUAGUUGGUGGGGUAAUGGCCCACCAAGGCGAAGACGGGUAGGGGGCGUGAGAGCGCGGCCCCCCACACUGGCACUGAGAUACGGGCCAGACUUCUACGGAAGGCAGCAGUCGGGGAUAUUGCACAAUCGGCGAAAGCCGGAUGCAGCGACGCCGCGUGGGCGAUGAAGGCCUUCGGGUUGUAAGGCCCUUUUAUGGGGGAAGAGACAAGGACGGUACCCCAAGAAUAAGCGUCGGCUAACUACGUGCCAGCAGCCGCGGUAAAACGUAGGACGCAAGCGUUAUCCGGAUUUACUGGGCGUAAAGAGCGUUGAGGCGGUUCCGUAAGUUGGGCGUGAAAGCCCCGGGCUUAACCCGGGGAGGUCGUUCAAUACUGCGGGACUUGAGGGCAGCAGAGGGAGGCGGAAUUCCCGGUGUAGCGGUGAAAUGCGUAGAUAUCGGGAGGAACACCAGUGGCGAAGGCGGCCUCCUGGGCUGUUUCUGACGCUGAAGGCGAAAGCUAGGGGAGCGAACGGGAUUAGAAACCCCGGUAGUCCUAGCCGUAAACGAUGGAUGCUGGGUGUGGGGGGUAUAGAUCCCCUCCGUGCCGAAGCUAACGCGUUAAGCAUCCCGCCUGGGGAUUACGGCCGCAAGGCUUAAACUCAAACGAAUUGACGGGGGCCCGCACAAGCAGCGGAGCGUGUGGUUUAAUUCGAUGCUACACGAAGAACCUUACCUGGGCUUGACAUGUAGGUAGUAGUGAAGCGAAAGCGGAACGACCCUUCGGGGAGCCUACACAGGUGCUGCAUGGCUGUCGUCAGUUCGUGCCGUGAGGUGUCGGGUUAAGUCCCGUAACGAACGCAACCCUUGCCCUUAGUUACAUGUGUCUAAGGGGACUGCCCGGGACAACUGGGAGGAAGGUGGGGAUGACGUCAAGUCA